RNAcentral lists this ribosomal RNA (245 nucleotides) under uncultured bacterium. Its description in RNAcentral is "partial 16S ribosomal RNA". It matches the Rfam family "Bacterial small subunit ribosomal RNA", at positions 524 to 768 of the family's 1533-position model. The record is from RNAcentral.
GACGAACCGUGCAAACGUUGUUCGGAUUCACUGGGCUUAAAGGGCGCGUAGGCGGCAGGCCAAGUCAGGGGUGAAAUCUUUCGGCUCAACCGGAAAAUUGCUUUUGAUACUGGCUUGCUUGAGGGAGGUAGGGGCAGACGGAACUUCCGGUGGAGCGGUGAAAUGCGUAGAUAUCGGAAGGAACGCCGGUGGCGAAAGCGGUCUGCUGGACCUUUUCUAACGCUGAGGCGCGAAAGCCAGGGGAG